This is a long non-coding RNA of Zeugodacus cucurbitae (melon fly), 537 nucleotides long. RefSeq lists it as uncharacterized. The record is from RefSeq and is a predicted model, not a curated record. The transcript has 3 exons. Lineage: Eukaryota; Metazoa; Arthropoda; Insecta; Diptera; Tephritidae.
GUUUUUGUAGUUAUACUUGUGGGAAGAAAGUCAACGAAAUCUCAGUUUUUGUUAAAUAUGUGUAAUGUUAUAGCAGAAGGUCGUUGCAGUGCUUUUAGUCUAUUACAACAACAAUUUCGUUUAAUGCGUACUCAACUGUGGAUUUGCCUCGGGUUUCAGAAACAAUCAUUAGUAAGGAGAGACUGAUUGAUUUAUCAGCACUUGGUUAUGGAAUAGUUUCAAGUGCUGAAAUAUAAUAUUGUAUAUACAUAUGUAUUUAAACAUACAUGUACAUACAUAUAUACUGAAACAUAAUGAGGUUUUGAAAAUUUAUAGAACAAGUAAAGAAGAAUUAAAUUCAUUCAUUUGAAACAAACGCAAUUUGCAAGGAUCAAAGGCGACGAAAUAUUUUCAGGUGUUGGAAAUCUUUAAAUUAAAACAAUUUGAAAAUUAGUCAAGCUUCGUUAUUCGACAAAACUGUAGUGUAGAAUGUAAUCAUAUUUAGCGUCAUAUUAACUGGAAGACUUAGUGAUAAUAUAAAUGCUGUCAUUCAUUAUU